This 25-nucleotide non-coding RNA is filed under the name Mus musculus (house mouse). Lineage: Eukaryota; Metazoa; Chordata; Mammalia; Rodentia; Muridae. The record is from RNAcentral.
CGCUUAAGGUACAUGUUGGGUGGCC